AUACGUAGGGGGCUAGCGUUAUCCGGAUUUAUUGGGUUUAAAGGGUGCGCAGGCGGCCAUUUAAGUCAGCGGUUAAAUCGUGGGGCUCAACCCCAUUCUGCCGUUGAUACUGGGUGGCUUGAUUGCGGUCGAGGUUGGCGGAAUUCGUUGUGUAGCGGUGAAAUGCAUAGAUAUGACGAAGAACACCGAUUGCGUAGGCAGCUGACCAGACCGCAAAUGACGCUCAUGCACGAAAGUGCGGGGAUCGAACAGGAUUAGAUACCCUGGUAGUCCGCACAGUAAACGAUGAAUACUUGUUUUCGGCGAUAUAAUGUCGGAGGCAAAGCGAAAGCGAUAAGUAUUCCACCUGGGGAGUACGCCGGCAACGGUGAAACUCAAAUGAAUUGACGGG
Molecule: ribosomal RNA, 391 nt
Filed under: uncultured bacterium
Lineage: Bacteria
Description: partial 16S ribosomal RNA
Rfam family: Bacterial small subunit ribosomal RNA
Source: RNAcentral